This 331-nucleotide ribosomal RNA is filed under the name uncultured Bacteroidota bacterium. Its description in RNAcentral is "bacterial SSU rRNA". It matches the Rfam family "Bacterial small subunit ribosomal RNA", at positions 100 to 430 of the family's 1533-position model. Lineage: Bacteria; Pseudomonadati; Bacteroidota. The record is from RNAcentral.
GAACGGGUGCGUAACGCGUAUGCAACUUACCUUUUACUAGAGAAUAGCCAAGAGAAAUUUUGAUUAAUGCUCUAUGUUCUUAUUUACUCGCAUGAGUAAAUAAGCAAAGCUCCGGCGGUAAAAGAUGGGCAUGCGUCCUAUUAGCUUGUAGGUGAGGUAAUGGCUCACCUAAGCUCCGAUAGGUAGGGGUCCUGAGAGGGAGAUCCCCCACACUGGUACUGAGACACGGACCAGACUUCUACGGAAGGCAGCAGUAAGGAAUAUUGGACAAUGGAGGCAACUCUGAUCCAGCCAUGCCGCGUGAAGGAAGACGGCCUUAUGGGUUGUAAAC